GACGAACGCUGGCGGCGUGCUUAACACAUGCCAGUCGAACGGAGAGGCCUUUUCGGAGGUACUCGAGUGGCGAACGGGUGAGUAACACGUGGGUGAUCUGCCCUGCACUCUGGGAUAAGCCUGGGAAACUGGGUCUAAUACCGGAUAGGACCGCACUUUAGUGUGUGUGGUGGAAAGUUUUUUCGGUGUAGGAUGAGCCCGCGGCCUAUCAGCUUGUUGGUGGGGUAAUGGCCUACCAAGGCGGCGACGGGUAGCCGGACUGAGAGGUUGGUCGGCCACAUUGGGACUGAGAUACGGCCCAGACUCCUACGGGAGGCAGCAGUGGGGAAUAUUGCACAAUGGGCGCAAGCCUGAUGCAGCGACGCCGCGUGGGGGAUGACGGCCUUCGGGUUGUAAACUCCUUUCGCCAGGGACGGAGCGUUUUGUGACGGUACCUGGAGAAGAAGCACCGGCUAACUACGUG
Molecule: ribosomal RNA, 463 nt
Filed under: uncultured bacterium
Lineage: Bacteria
Description: partial 16S ribosomal RNA
Rfam family: Bacterial small subunit ribosomal RNA
Source: RNAcentral